UGAGCGUGGUACUUUACACAGACUCGGACGCGCAUAAUAGCAGACGUGCAGAUUGAGAGAGGGGCAAGGAGAACGCUCGCGGCCCCUCCUCUUUCCUCCCUCCUCUUCUCUUUUCCUCUCCCACCGGGCGGAGAAGCCGCCCCCUUUUGCGCCCCGCCCCCUCUGGCUACCCCGCAGGCGACAAUGGACGAGCCACAGAGAAACAAGUCCCACAAGAGCAAGACCGUCGGCAACAAGGCCGCCAAGAAGGACGCGCUGCGCAAGCGCCGCUCCGGCAUCGACCUAGAACCGAACCGCGGCAGCAAUGUAAAAGCGUUUCAGGGCCCCAGCGCGGGCGGCCACAAGGCGCAGAAGCUCUACCGCUCCAUCGAGAAGAAAGAAACUGCCCUGCAUGUGCCGACGAUGGACAAGACGCUGCGCCACGUUGUGGCCGAGCCACCGCUGCUGGUCGCCGUUGUUGGGCCACCCGGCGUUGGCAAGACGACGCUGAUUCGCUCCAUGGUAAAGUUCUACUCCAAUCGCAACUUGGCCUCGGUGCGCGGCCCCGUGACGGUGAUAGCUGGUCGCUCACGCCGCAUCACCUUCAUGGAGUGCCCCAACACCUUGGCUUCCAUGUGCGACGUGGCCAAGGUCGCGGACCUGGUGCUGCUCAUGGUGGACGGCAGCUUCGGCUUCGAGAUGGAGACGUUUGAGUUUCUCAACAUCGCGCAGGUGCACGGGUUUCCGAAGAUGUUUGGCGUGAUUUCGCACCUCGACACUCUCAAGACGGGAAAAGCGAUGAAGAAGCGCAAGAAGUUUCUUCGGCAUCGCUUCUGGCAUGAGGUGGCGGCUGGCGCCAAGCUGAUCUGCCUCUCCCCUAUGGUGCGAGGCAUGUACCGACCGACCGAUGUGCUGAACCUGCAUCGCCUGCUCAUCUGCGUCGAUCCCAAGAUUCAGGCCUGGCGCAACACACACAGCUGCGUCGUGAUGGAUCGCAUCGAGGACAUCACGGACCCGGACGUCGUCACGAAGAGCCCGCUGCAUAGCCGCACCGUCGCCUUCUACGGCUACGCCCGCGGAAAGCCGAUGAAGCCGGGCCAGCUGGUGCACAUUCCCGGCCUCGGCGACUUCCCGGUGGCGCACCUUUCCCACCAGGCUGAUCCCUGCCAGUUGGACAAGUUCAGCGGCGACAGCAAGGAGGGUGGCAACCACCGCAUGCGCCACCUCAGCCUCAAGCAGAAGAAGCUCUAUGCCCCGUACUGCGACGUAGGCGGUAUCAGCUACGACGACGACGCCAUCUACAUCCAGGAGGACGCCGCGAAGGGCGCGAUCGAACGCAGCGGAGAGGGUCUGCAGCUGCUUCGGGAGCUGCAGAAUGUGCGUCCGAUGGACGCGGCACAGACGAAGUUGCGCGUUGUGCCUCGCCGGCGCCGCCCAAUGAACUUCCGAGACGAGGACACAAUGGAGCUGGACAUGGAGGAGGUUCGCAUGCCCUCCGACGCCGAAGACGACGACGACUGGAGCAACGACGCAGGCGACGAGGGUGCGUACAACGACACUGUUAUCGACUCAGACGAUAACGGAGAGCGUGAGCGCCAGCAGCGCGGCGGACCCCGGCUCUCCGACUUUGGGGUCGCCGAUGACGGAGAGGACGCGGCGGCCACCGCAGGCGGAGACGAUGAUGGCGGGGGCAGCAGUGAGGCUGCUCUGGCGCCCCGUCUGCUCAACGACCCGGACGCGAUUCGUCUGAACGCCAUUCAGCAUGACUGGAGUGAUGCCUCGAUGCUGCGCUCGCUGAAGGACCUCUGUGUCACUGGAAACUGGGAGGCCGGCGCGGAGGGCGUCGACGAGGAGGACGCCGGCGCCGCAGAGGAGGACAGCAAAGGCUACGACAGCAACGAUGAGGACUUUGAGCUGGAGGCGCGUGGGGAGAAGCCCAUGACGCGCCACGACAACAGGCGCAGCGGCGCCGGUGUUGCUGGGGACUCCUCCACCUCCUGGUCUGAGGGAGAUGGCGAGCCCGAUAACGGUGAGGAUGGCUUCGGCAGCGACGGCGUCGACGAUCUCGGCUUUGGCCGCGCCAGAAACGGCUCGCGUGGCACCGCAGCCGCCCCAAGGAGGAUGAACGCGUUGGCGUCCAUCAGAUACGGCGGCGGCGGGCACGGCUCCCCUCGUCAAGGUGAGGGGGCGGAUGUAGAUGACGAGUACGACGGCUACAACAUCCUUGACGACGACAGCGACGGCGGUGAGGUGGACGGCAGCGGCAAGGCUGGCCACAGCGUCGUGGGCGGAGCCGAUCAGGAGCUGGAUGACCUCGUCUCCAGCUUCCUGGCGCACGGCACCUCGCAUAGCGGCAACGGCGGCAGCCGGGCCAACGGACGGGCAGCCACAACGGCCGGCCUCGACGGCGAAGACGGCAUCGAGUUCUUUGACGAGGCGACGCGCUACGACCGCGACGACGAUGGCAAGGAUGGCCACCCGCGCCCGCGCAGGCGCCGCGUCAACCCACAGGAGGAGCGCACCGCCGAAGCGGAGGCGGGCGCCGAGGCCGUUGUGCGACAGGGCGGCAGCCUCACGGAGGAGCAGGAGCGCCUCUUGCAGAAGAAGAUGGCGAAGAAGCGCGCGUUCGACCAAGAUUACGACACUGGCAACGUCGACGGCGGCAAGAACACAACCUUCAGCUACUACCACCGUCUGAACCGGCAGGUGGAGGAGAAGAAGGAGCGCAUCAACGAGGCCCUCGACGAUGUCGGUGACGACAUGGACAAGAAGAUCCAGCUGGUCGGCUACUUCAGUGGCCUUUAUCUGCGCAUUGUGAUCGAUAGCGUCCCUGUCGAGUUCCUCAAGGCGUUCGACCCCGCUGUACCGCUGAUUGCGGGCGGCAUCAACGCCGGCGAGGAUGAGUUCCGUAUCGUUCAGGCCCGCAUCAAGCGCCAUCGGUGGUUCCCGAAGAUCCUCAAGGCGCAGGAUCCGCUGCUUCUCUCGAUGGGCUGGCGCCGCUUUCAGACGCAGCCGAUCUUCUCCACGGAGGACCCGAAUGGGCGGUGCCGCUACCUCAAGUACACGCCACUGCACAUGCACUGUAUGGCAGCCUUCUACGCGCCUGUGGCGCCGCCAAACACCGGGUUUCUCGCCAUCCCGGUUCGCGACCCGCGCGUGUCCUCUUUCCGCAUCCCGUGCACGGGCUACACAAUCGGCAAUGACGUCUCCACGCCCAUCGUGAAGAAGCUGAAGCUGACGGGCACGCCGGCCAAAGUGGAGAAGACGACGGCGUUCAUCAAGGGCAUGUUCAGCAGCGACGUGGAGGCGGCGAAGUUCAUUGGAGCCAAGCUGAGGACGGUGUCAGGCAUCCGCGGUAUCAUUAAGUCUGUAAUGAAAGGCAAGAAGGGGCUCGUGCGUGCAACCUUUGAGGACAAGCUGUUCCCGUCCGACAUUGUCUUUAUUAGCGCGUGGAAAUCUGUGGAGCCGCCGCGGUACUGCUCCAUGCAACGCAAUUUGGUGGAUCCGGAGUGGGUCGGCAUGCGGUCCAUGCGGGAGCUGCGGCUGGACUACAACAUGCCUCUCCCCCGCAACGACGACUCCGAGUACACCGAAAUCAAGCGCCGCCACCGGGUCGCCGAGGAGGACGAGGACCUCACGAAGCAGAAGGUGCUGCUCUCGCGUAACCUCAAGAUGCAGCUUCCGUACGACAUGAAGGAGGACUUCAUUCCAAUCAACCGGGGCACCGCCCUACAAGAGCGCAUCAAAGGGGCAACCACGGUAGCGCCAGAGCCGCGGGAGCAGCGACGGCAGGCCCUGCUUGACACCUUCGCGGAUCGGGCGGAUGCCAUGACGCAGAAGAAGGACGCGGCGAAGAAGCGCGCGCGCGAGCGUUCGGCGAAGGAGGCGGCGAAGGAGCAGGAGGCGUAUCUGCAGGGGCUGAAGAAGGCGAAGAAGGACACGGCCCGCAUGCGAGAAUUCCGCACGCAGCAUAAGUCCCGCAAGUGACAGCAGGUCUUUGCCCUGCCGUCGGAGCUGGCGCUGACGGUGGCGGAGGAAGACGAAGAGGUGGUUAUCACCAGCGUAGCGCCAGGGGGCUGCUGUGAAGCUCGUGUAGCAUAUGUCUGCAAGCGCUUCUCACCAUUUCAGUCGUCCUUGCCCGCACACCUGCUCAAGAGUUUCUUCAACUCGAUGUGCCCGUUGAUGGUGAUGACCCGACACCAUCUCUAUCUUUUUCGCAAGCACUGCCUACACUCUUUCGGCAGCGCUGUCGGCGACUCUGUAUUUCUCUCUGACGGGCAUGUUUUGCUUUUAAGUAUAAGAAGCCACAUACUUUGUGCCGUGGCCAUGGACGGCUAACCGACGACAUCACUCAUCUCACACACACACACACACACACACACACACGCGAGAGAGAGAAAGGGAGGGAGGCAAACGCCGCGUUUAACUUCUCGUGUAACGCGGAGCCGAUUUCUUUUCGACCGUGCACCUCCACGGUUGUCUGUCUUCGUGUGUGUUGGCGCAUGAUUUGCUCUGCACUAACGGUGGCGGAUCGCGUAACAGGCUGUCGCUUCCUUUCCUUCCCUUCCCUUACCCUCUUUCUCUCUCACCCGUGUGUGUGUGCGUGCACGUGUACGUAAUGAACGACAACGAGGUAGACAAACACCUAAGCUUUCAGGAAAAGGGCAGGGCGCAGAUGCGUGGAAGGAAGGAAACACGCCUCCUUCUCGUAUUUUCGUUGCCGUCUCGUUAGCUGGCCCUCUGGACCCCUCUUCCUCACUGCCACAGGUAUUGCCUCCCCUCCCCCCACGGCCCGCAAACCGCCACUUCACAUGAUUGCCAGAGCACCGCCCUUCAACUCACCCGCGCACGUAUCUACUCUUCUCCCUAACUUUGCCCGUCCUCAUCAUCGCUCUCUCCUGGUUUACCACGGUGCACCUCUGCACUCCUCACAACACUUCUGUACUACCGCAG
Molecule: unclassified non-coding RNA, 4932 nt
Filed under: Leishmania donovani
Lineage: Eukaryota; Euglenozoa; Kinetoplastea; Trypanosomatida; Trypanosomatidae
Description: gene:LdHU3.28.2620(CDS-product:AARP2CN_(NUC121)_d omain/Protein_of_unknown_function_(DUF663)_putative)
Source: RNAcentral